This 77-nucleotide transfer RNA is filed under the name Janthinobacterium sp. ROICE36. RNAcentral's name for it is "tRNA-Pro". It matches the Rfam family "tRNA". From Rfam's summary of the family: Transfer RNA (tRNA) molecules are approximately 80 nucleotides in length. Their secondary structure includes four short double-helical elements and three loops (D, anti-codon, and T loops). Lineage: Bacteria; Pseudomonadati; Pseudomonadota; Betaproteobacteria; Burkholderiales; Oxalobacteraceae. The record is from RNAcentral.
CGGGGUGUGGCUCAGCCUGGUAAAGCGCUGCGUUCGGGAAGCAGAGGGCGCUGGUUCGAAUCCUCUCACCCCGACCA